Long non-coding RNA from Ctenopharyngodon idella (grass carp), 2290 nucleotides. RefSeq lists it as uncharacterized. The transcript has 5 exons. The record is from RefSeq and is a predicted model, not a curated record. NCBI's taxonomy places the organism in Eukaryota, Metazoa, Chordata, Actinopteri, Cypriniformes, Xenocyprididae.
AUCGGAAUGUAAUUUUAUGUUGUAACAUUAACUCAUAGUGUUAUGAAUAAAGUGGAAAGAGAAUUCAUUUUUUUUUAGUUACACUUAAAUCAUAAAAACAUUGAUUUUAUAUAUUUGCAUUAUGGAUUUGAAAUUACCAUGCGGUGGCCCCUAGUGAAUGUGCGCCGUAUAUACCACUCCAAAAAGUUGCACUAGCCUAGUAUAUAAUCUCAGGUAUGAUUAUUAAUCAUCAUUAUGAGAAAACAGCAGACUCAGGCUUUUAUUAUUCUUAUAGGCUAAAUAUAACACCGAGGUUAAAGCGGAGAAAACAAAUGUUGAAUACGGACGCUUGAAUACACGCAGACCUCUUGCAUUUCUGUUGCGUAGCUGGAGGGAUUUACGGGGACUUAAUUCCUUAAAACUGUCCUCUCGUCCACAUGACGCUCAAACUGCAAGUGCUCAAGCUGAUAUACCCAAAUGUAUCAAGAGAUGAGUGCAUCGCAUUGCCAUGGGGCUAGAUUAAGGCCUUUUAUAAGACAUGUAGAAUACACGUGAAACCAGUGUGGAGUGGCGCAACGAGGAGGUGAGUUAGAUAGCUACCUUUAAAAAUGUUUAAAACAACACGUUGCCAAUAUCCACUUCGAGAAAUGUCUAUCGGGAUUCUUCUGUGUGGGAGGAAAGCCGACAGUAUCAUAACAGCUUUAAGUCCGUAGCCUACAUUUAAAGACAUCCUGAGAGAGAACCUGACAAGACUCGAGACGCACGGACAAAUGAACAACGAUGAAGAAGAAAAAACCUUUUACACUUCAAGACAAGAUGGAAAGCUUCGGUUGUGCACCUGCUAUUGUGGAAUGAGAUGAUGACAGCCACCAUUAUCCUGGUCCAAAUGUUUUGCAAGCUCUGGUGGGCAAAAGCAAAGUGGACAUUAUCUGAUGUUAUCUUAUGUGAAUGUUUGGAGGAGCACAGUAGGAGUGGAUCAGUUUCUUCACAGAGCCAAGCGGCAAACAAAUGGAUUCAAUUAAAACCGAUUCUUCCCUUCAAGUCAUCAAUAUGAGGCAAAUGCCAGUCCCUCUCAACUGUUUAUAUCUCUUUUGGGAAAGUGGAGGCUGUCUGUUGGGACUCCUCUCAUAAUUCUGUCAGUUGGAUGUUUCCAUUACGUUCUCUUCACGUUCCUGCCAUGUUCUUGUCCCGGCUCCAGCCUGUUGUCAGCUACCCUUCCAGCCACAGGCUGGCAGCUGUUUUUUUUUUUCUUUUUUCAAUUGUGUAUCUCUAAGGGCUUGUCUGUCAACUGGAACCCUCCCCUCCAAUUAGGAGAGUAAACACAAGACCCGUCUCUGUGUGUGUGCUUGUGUACGUGCUUAUAUAAAGUUCACAAACUGUCACCUAAAACUCCCCUCUAGCGAUAAAACAAUGCCUAGAUUCUGAUAGCCCUCUCCAUCGCCAAACUCCUACACUUUUAAUUGUAUAGACUGUCUUUUAACUCUAAAUUGGAUUUUAGUGGCAUAAAUAUAUAGUAAAGAUACUACUUAAAAACAACAAAGAAUAAAGAAAAUUCUAUAAAUAAAAAAGUCGUUAGUCUUAUCUCCUGUAGAUUUAAAAGGAAACAUUUUUAUAUUUAAUUUUAUUUGACUACACUGAUAUAUUGUACAGUUUCUAGACAUUUAUAUUGACUGAUUUUUCUGAGCAAGUAUUUGCCGCUUGUUUGUGUUACAUUGAACUGGACGUAUUUCACUAAUAAAAGUGAAGAAAGUGUUUCUUUUCGACAUUAACAUGACAGGUCACCACUCGCCGCUCUCCUGGUUACCAUGGGGUACCAAUACUGCAGAAAAGAAUGUAGAGUCUGCCAGAGUUGCAGACUGGGACAGAACGGGAUAUGCGUGUGUAUGUGUGUGUGCGCUUGACUGUGUGUGUGCUGGGGGUGGGAACACUCUCAGAAACCCCAGUGGUUACCGCCUUGCGGCUGGCAAUAGGGAUGCAGGAAUUUCACUAGACCUACUGCCCGGAAAAUGCCAGGUGGGAGACGAGGAGCGGACGGAGGGUGUGGACGAGUCACAUUAAUUGUUGGCAGGGGAGGUGGUGGAUAGGUAGCUCAGGAACUGUCAGAAGCUCAGUAGAAAAAUAGAGCAGUCAAAUCAAUUGCAGCCUGAUGUAUUUACUGUCGCUUUAACGUCAUUUGCAGAAUGAGCAUUUCUUGUGAAAGCUAGAAUACAAACUAAUCUUUUUUUUUUGGUGAAUCAUAUAUAUAUAGUUAUUUGUUUAGAGUUAAAGCUGAAUAACUGUUCUAAAUGGUAAAUAAAAUGCUUCUAAAAUA